RNAcentral lists this ribosomal RNA (497 nucleotides) under uncultured bacterium. RNAcentral describes it as "partial 16S ribosomal RNA". It matches the Rfam family "Bacterial small subunit ribosomal RNA", at positions 28 to 507 of the family's 1533-position model. The record is from RNAcentral.
GAUGAACGUUGGCGGCGUGCCUAAUACAUGCAAGUCGAGCGAACAGAUAAGGAGCUUGCUCCUUUGAAGUUAGCGGCGGACGGGUGAGUAACACGUGGGUAACCUACCUAUAAGACUGGGAUAACUUCGGGAAACCGGAGCUAAUACCGGAUAACAUUUAGAACCGCAUGGUUCUAAAGUGAAAGAUGGUUUUGCUAUCACUUAUAGAUGGACCCGCGCCGUAUUAGCUAGUUGGUAAGGUAACGGCUUACCAAGGCGACGAUACGUAGCCGACCUGAGAGGGUGAUCGGCCACACUGGAACUGAGACACGGUCCAGACUCCUACGGGAGGCAGCAGUAGGGAAUCUUCCGCAAUGGGCGAAAGCCUGACGGAGCAACGCCGCGUGAGUGAUGAAGGGUUUCGGCUCGUAAAACUCUGUUAUUAGGGAAGAACAAAUGUGUAAGUAACUGUGCACAUCUUGACGGUACCUAAUCAGAAAGCCACGGCUAACUACGUG